Molecule: long non-coding RNA, 285 nt
Filed under: Setaria viridis
Lineage: Eukaryota; Viridiplantae; Streptophyta; Magnoliopsida; Poales; Poaceae
Description: long non-coding RNA (SVIR_LNC004703)
Source: RNAcentral
GGAAGUCUAUAAUUUGAUUCUUGUAUAUGGUUUUACUCACUAGAUGACCAAAAAAAGCAUCCUCUUGUACCUGAGUAUGGAAGAAUAGGUUUGAAGUGCUGCGAAGAAGGCCAUAUUGGUAAGGAAUUCUUUCUCAGAGCAGUGUGAGAUAGCACAUCAAUGAUCUCAUCCACAUUAUCCCCUUGGUUCAAUUCAUCACCUUCAUCAUUAUCUGAAAGAGCCACUAAAGAUUCAAUCUCUCUAGGCUCAUAAUCAUCAUCUCCUGAGUCAUCCUCAUCAUCAACC